UACGUAGGGGGCAAGCGUUGUCCGGAUUUAUUGGGCGUAAAGAGCGUGUAGGCGGCCAGACAGGUCCGUUGUGAAAACUCGAGGCUCAACCUCGAGAUGUCGAUGGAAACCGUCUGGCUAGAGUCCGGAGGAGGAGUGUGGAAUUCCUGGUGUAGCGGUGAAAUGCGCAGAUAUCAGGAAGAACACCUAUGGCGAAGGCAGCACUCUGGGACGGUACUGACGCUGAGACGCGAAAGCGUGGGGAGCGAACAGG
This 253-nucleotide ribosomal RNA is filed under the name uncultured bacterium. Its description in RNAcentral is "partial 16S ribosomal RNA". It matches the Rfam family "Bacterial small subunit ribosomal RNA", at positions 524 to 776 of the family's 1533-position model. The record is from RNAcentral.